RNAcentral lists this ribosomal RNA (481 nucleotides) under uncultured bacterium. Its description in RNAcentral is "partial 16S ribosomal RNA". It matches the Rfam family "Bacterial small subunit ribosomal RNA", at positions 30 to 506 of the family's 1533-position model. The record is from RNAcentral.
AUUGAACGCUGGCGGCAUGCCUUACACAUGCAAGUCGAACGGUAACAGGUCUUCGGCUGCUGACGAGUGGCGAACGGGUGAGUAAUACAUCGGAACGUGCCCGAUCGUGGGGGAUAACGAAGCGAAAGCUUUGCUAAUACCGCAUACGAUCUACGGAUGAAAGCAGGGGACCGCAAGGCCUUGCGCGAACGGAGCGGCCGAUGGCAGAUUAGGUAGUUGGUGGGAUAAAAGCUUACCAAGCCGACGAUCUGUAGCUGGUCUGAGAGGACGACCAGCCACACUGGACUUGAAACACGCCCCAGCCCCCUACGGGAGGCCGCAGUGGGAAUUUUUGGCAAAUGGGCGAACCCCUGUCCCAUUCUUCCCGCGGGCAGGAUGAAGCCCUUCGGUUUGUAAACUCCUUUUGUACGGAACAAAAAGCCUCUUUUUAAUCCCUGGGGUCCAUACCGGUCCCGUAAAAAUAACCCCCGGCUACCUCCGG